This 230-nucleotide ribosomal RNA is filed under the name uncultured bacterium. RNAcentral describes it as "partial 16S ribosomal RNA". It matches the Rfam family "Bacterial small subunit ribosomal RNA", at positions 30 to 266 of the family's 1533-position model. The record is from RNAcentral.
UUGAACGCUGGCGGCAUGCCUUACACAUGCAAGUCGAACGGUAGAGGGGCAACCCUUGAGAGUGGCGAACGGGUGAGUAAUAUAUCGGAACGUGCCCAGUCGUGGGGGAUAACGCAGCGAAAGCUGCGCUAAUACCGCAUACGAUCUAUGGAUGAAAGCGGGGGAUCGCAAAGACCUCGCGCGAUUGGAGCGGCCGAUAUCAGAUUAGGUAGUUGGUGGGGUAAAAGCCC